GCAGGGGGAGCAAGAUGAAGUCACAGACCCAGGUCCUCAUAUCCCUGCUGCUUUGGGUGUCUGGUGCCUGUGCAGACAUUGUGAUGACCCAGUCUCCAUCCUCCCUGGCUGUGUCAGCAGGAGAGAAGGUCUCCAUCAGCUGCAGGUCCAGUCAGAGCCUUUAUUACAGCAGCAACCAAAAGAACUACUUGUCCUGGUACCAGCAAAAGCCAGGGAAAUCCCCUAAGCUGCUGAUCUACUGGGCAUCCACUCGGUACACUGGGGUCCCUGAUCGCUUCACAGGCAGUGGAUCUGGGACAGAUUUCACUCUCACCAUCAGCAGUGUGCAGGAUGAAGACCUGGCAGUUUAUUUCUGUAUGCAGAGUGUUAGUACUCCUCCCACAGUGCUUCAGGAAAGGGAUUCAGGAGACAUCUGGGAUUUCUGGAAGGCCACAUAG
Molecule: non-coding RNA, 437 nt
Organism: Psammomys obesus (fat sand rat)
Lineage: Eukaryota; Metazoa; Chordata; Mammalia; Rodentia; Muridae
Source: the annotation of a RefSeq genome assembly